Molecule: ribosomal RNA, 450 nt
Filed under: uncultured bacterium
Lineage: Bacteria
Description: partial 16S ribosomal RNA
Rfam family: Bacterial small subunit ribosomal RNA
Source: RNAcentral
GUAGGGAAUCUUUCACAAUGGACGAAAGUCUGAUGGAGCAACGCCGCGUGAGUGAAGAAGGUUUUCGGAUCGUAAAACUCUGUUGUCAGAGAAGAACGUGUGUGAGAGUAACUGUUCACGCAGUGACGGUAUCUGACCAGAAAGUCACGGCUAACUACGUGCCAGCAGCCGCGGUAAUACGUAGGUGGCAAGCGUUGUCCGGAUUUAUUGGGCGUAAAGGGAACGCAGGCGGUCUUUUAAGUCUGAUGUGAAAGCCUUCGGCUUAACCGAAGUCGGGCAUUGGAAACUGGGAGACUUGAGUGCAGAAGAGGAGAGUGGAACUCCAUGUGUAGCGGUGAAAUGCGUAGAUAUAUGGAAGAACACCAGUGGCGAAAGCGGCUCUCUGGUCUGUAACUGACGCUGAGGUUCGAAAGCGUGGGUAGCAAACAGGAUUAGAAACCCCUGUAGUCC